RNAcentral lists this transfer RNA (69 nucleotides) under Chaetura pelagica (chimney swift). RNAcentral describes it as "tRNA-Lys". The record is from RNAcentral. Lineage: Eukaryota; Metazoa; Chordata; Aves; Apodiformes; Apodidae.
CAUUAGGAAGCUAUGCAACAGCACUAGCCUUUUAAGCUAGAGAUAGAGAACCACUAACCUCCCUAAUGA